GAUGAAGAACGUAGCGAAAUGCGAUACUUGGUGUGAAUUGCAGAAUCCCGUGAACCAUCGAGUCUUUGAACGCAAGUUGCGCCCGAAGCCAUUAGGCCGAGGGCACGCCUGCCUGGGCGUCACACGUCGUUGCCCCCCCCAUCUACUCCUUCGGGAUUGCGGGGGGCGGAUGAUGGCCUCCCGUGUGCCUCGCCGCGCGGUUGGCGUAAAUGCCAAGUCCUCGGCGACGCACGCCACGACAAUCGGUGGUUGCGAAACCUCGGUUGCCCGUCGUGUGCGGUCGUCGCGCAUCGAGGGCUCGAAAAAAUUGCCGGGUUCCGGCUCGGCUUUCAACGCGACCCCAGGUCAGGCGGGGUUACCCGCUGAAUUUAAGCAUAUCAAUAAGCGGAGGA
Molecule: unclassified non-coding RNA, 392 nt
Filed under: soil metagenome
Description: partial contains 5.8S ribosomal RNA, internal transcribed spacer 2, and large subunit ribosomal RNA
Rfam family: 5.8S ribosomal RNA (bases 1-122)
Source: RNAcentral